RNAcentral lists this unclassified non-coding RNA (337 nucleotides) under soil metagenome. RNAcentral describes it as "partial contains 5.8S ribosomal RNA, internal transcribed spacer 2, and large subunit ribosomal RNA". The stretch from base 1 to 120 matches the Rfam family "5.8S ribosomal RNA", at positions 35 to 154 of the family's 154-position model. The record is from RNAcentral.
GAUGAAGAACGUAGCGAAAUGCGAUAAGUAGUGUGAAUUGCAGAAUUCAGUGAAUCAUCGAAUCUUUGAACGCACAUUGCGCCCCUUGGUAUUCCAUGGGGCAUGCCUGUUCGAGCGUCAUCUACACCCUCAAGCUCUGCUUGGUGUUGGGCGUCUGUCCCGCCCCCGCGCGUGGACUCGCCCCAAAUCCAUUGGCAGCGUUCCUUGCCCCCUCUCGCGCAGCACAUUGCGCUUCUCGAGGGCGGCUCCGGGACGCGAUCCAGCAAGAUGACCACCGUCUUUGACCUCGGAUCAGGUAGGGAUACCCGCUGAACUUAAGCAUAUCAUAAGCGGAGGA